Rattus norvegicus (Norway rat) is the source of this 108-nucleotide small nuclear RNA. Lineage: Eukaryota; Metazoa; Chordata; Mammalia; Rodentia; Muridae. The record is from Ensembl.
GUGCUUGCUUUGGCAGCACAUAUACUAAAACUGGAAUGACAGAGAGGAGAUUGGCAUGGCCGCUGCACACAGAAUGACACUGAAAUUCGAGGAGCAUUCCAUAUCUUU